Molecule: long non-coding RNA, 538 nt
Organism: Megalobrama amblycephala (Wuchang bream)
Lineage: Eukaryota; Metazoa; Chordata; Actinopteri; Cypriniformes; Xenocyprididae
Exons: 3
Source: RefSeq, a predicted model, not a curated record
CCUUCUGUCAGAGGCUUGAAGAAGACAAAAAUUAUCGAGAGCUUUAUGUACACUAUCUCAUCCAUACUCACGGCAGCUCCAAUAUAGGUGAGAUGGUGAGACAGGCUUUAAAAAGCAUAGCGUCAGACAAUGUUCUCUGUCUGUAUAACAGAACGGGGAAAGAUGGGAAGAAGGUGUUGCCACCUGUGCUCCUGACAUGUUUGAAAAAAUGUGUCAGGUCUUUUCACAAACAAAAUGAAAUAGAGGUGAAGAAGCUAAAAGUAACCACCAGAACAACACCAGACGCGGAAUGUAUUCGCCAAGUAGAAAUUUUUUUGUCCAACGCCAACACCAGGCUGAAAAGGAAACCAAAUAAAGGAAAAAGCUGACUUUUUGUUUGUUUGUUUUUAUUGAUGGAAAUAAAGAAUGUGGGUGUAAAAGUUUGAGUUAACUGAAUCAUUUUAGAUAACAGUGAACUAACACAAUUAUUGCAUAGUGGUGUUAUAUGGUGAUCUUACAGUAUGAGCACACAGUGAUCACAGUAUGAGCACACAGUGAG